AUUUUGUCAUUAAUGAUUCCAGAUACAUAGGUUCCACAAGGUAGGAGUGUACCCCCUGCUACUCCUCAUCAAGAGGAAGAAGGAUAACAUUUUGUCGUCAACUGCACUGUGUCCUCACAGUGGUAUGAUAAUUUCAGACCUCAAUGGCAGCAAUCCAAAGGUUGUAUGAGGCAAUUGUGAAAGUUGCAAUCAACACCCAUACCCCCACACUACAACCCUCCAACCCUCCUCCUGUUGCUGCCCAAGAACUGUCUGAUACAGUUGCCCCCCAGGAGACCAGCUGCAACCUCAUCCUCACGCAGGUUGAACCCCCGAUAUCCCCCACCACCCAGGAGACCAGCUACAUCCCCAUCCUUAACCAAGUUGAACCCCCAAUAAUCCCCACCACCCAGGAGACCAGCUACACCCCUAUCCUCAACCAGGUUUAACCCCUAAUAAUCCCCUCCGCCCAGGAGACCAGCUACACCCCCAUCCUCAACCAGGUUGAACCCACAAUACUCCCCACCACCCAGGAGACCAGCUUUACCCGGAUCCCCAACCAGGUUAAACUCCCAAUAACCCCCUCCGCCCAGGAGACCAGCUACACCCAAAUCAAAGAAGACGGGGAGAAAGUCCUGUCACCCUAAAAAAAAAAAUCCAACUCGCUGACCAUGACAUAGUCAGCCCCAUCCAACC
Long non-coding RNA from Oncorhynchus tshawytscha (Chinook salmon), 675 nucleotides. NCBI's taxonomy places the organism in Eukaryota, Metazoa, Chordata, Actinopteri, Salmoniformes, Salmonidae. The record is from Ensembl.